CCCUUAGAUGUUCUGGGCCGCACGCGUGCUACACUGAGUGGAUCAGCGGGUCAGGUUGCGCGAAAGCGUUUCCUAAUCUUUAAAUCCGCUCGUGAUGGGGAUUGACGGUUGCAAUUUUCUGUCAUGAACGAGGAAUACCUUGUAAGCGCGGGUCAUCAUCCCGCGCUGAAUACGUCCCUGCCCUUUGUACACACCGCCCGUCGCUCCUACCGAUUGAGUGAUCCGAUGAAUAUCAUGGAUUGAGGAUGCAAGUAGGUUCACCUAUCUUCAUCUUCGAGAAGUGAAGUAAAUCUUAUCAUUUAGAGGAAGGAGAAGUCGUAACA
Molecule: ribosomal RNA, 323 nt
Filed under: uncultured eukaryote
Lineage: Eukaryota
Description: partial 18S ribosomal RNA
Rfam family: Eukaryotic small subunit ribosomal RNA
Source: RNAcentral